GCGCAAGUAGCUCAGUUGGUCAGAGCAAGAAGGUUCACCCACCUUUGGUGUCGUGGGUUCGAGUCCCACCUUGCGCCCCA
This 80-nucleotide transfer RNA is filed under the name Segatella copri. Its description in RNAcentral is "tRNA-Val". It matches the Rfam family "tRNA". From Rfam's summary of the family: Transfer RNA (tRNA) molecules are approximately 80 nucleotides in length. Their secondary structure includes four short double-helical elements and three loops (D, anti-codon, and T loops). Further hydrogen bonds mediate the characteristic L-shaped molecular structure. tRNAs have two regions of fundamental functional importance: the anti-codon, which is responsible for specific mRNA codon recognition, and the 3' end, to which the tRNAs corresponding amino acid is attached (by aminoacyl-tRNA synthetases). tRNAs cope with the degeneracy of the genetic code in two manners: having more than one tRNA (with a specific anti-codon) for a particular amino acid; and 'wobble' base-pairing, i.e. permitting non-standard base-pairing at the 3rd anti-codon position. Lineage: Bacteria; Pseudomonadati; Bacteroidota; Bacteroidia; Bacteroidales; Prevotellaceae. The record is from RNAcentral.